RNAcentral lists this ribosomal RNA (787 nucleotides) under uncultured bacterium. RNAcentral describes it as "bacterial SSU rRNA". It matches the Rfam family "Bacterial small subunit ribosomal RNA", at positions 557 to 1342 of the family's 1533-position model. The record is from RNAcentral.
GGCGUAAAGAGCUCGUAGGCGGUUUGUCGCGUCUGCUGUGAAAACGCGAGGCUCAACCUCGCGCCUGCAGUGGGUACGGGCAGACUAGAGUGCGGUAGGGGAGAUUGGAAUUCCUGGUGUAGCGGUGGAAUGCGCAGAUAUCAGGAGGAACACCGAUGGCGAAGGCAGAUCUCUGGGCCGUAACUGACGCUGAGGAGCGAAAGCGUGGGGAGCGAACAGGAUUAGAUACCCUGGUAGUCCACGCCGUAAACGUUGGGAACUAGAUGUAGGGACCAUUCCACGGUUUCUGUGUCGCAGCUAACGCAUUAAGUUCCCCGCCUGGGGAGUACGGUCGCAAGACUAAAACUCAAAGGAAUUGACGGGGGCCCGCACAAGCGGCGGAGCAUGCGGAUUAAUUCGAUGCAACGCGAAGAACCUUACCAAGGCUUGACAUAUACGAGAACGGGCCAGAAAUGGUCAACUCUUUGGACACUCGUAAACAGGUGGUGCAUGGUUGUCGUCAGCUCGUGUCGUGAGAUGUUGGGUUAAGUCCCGCAACGAGCGCAACCCUCGUCCUAUGUUGCCAGCACGUAAUGGUGGGAACUCAUGGGAGACUGCCGGGGUCAACUCGGAGGAAGGUGGGGAUGACGUCAAAUCAUCAUGCCCCUUAUGUCUUGGGCUUCACGCAUGCUACAAUGGCCGGUACAAAGGGCUGCAAUACCGCAAGGUGGAGCGAAUCCCAAAAAGCCGGUCUCAGUUCGGAUUGAGGUCUGCAACUCGACCUCAUGAAGUUGGAGUCGCUAGUAAU